UACGUAGGGACCAAGCGUUGUUCGGAUUUACUGGGCGUAAAGGGCGCGUAGGCGGCUUUGCGUGUCUUUCGUGAAAUCCCUCGGCUCAACUGAGGACGUGCGGAAGAAACUGCAGGACUUGAGGCUGGGAGGGGCUGGUGGAAUUCCCUGUGUAGCGGUGAAAUGCGUAGAGAUGGGGGAGAACACCGGUGGCGAAGGCGGCAUCCUGGACCGAGAUUGACGCUGAGGCGCGAAAGCCAGGGGAGCAAACGGG
This 253-nucleotide ribosomal RNA is filed under the name uncultured bacterium. RNAcentral's name for it is "partial 16S ribosomal RNA". It matches the Rfam family "Bacterial small subunit ribosomal RNA", at positions 524 to 776 of the family's 1533-position model. The record is from RNAcentral.